This 1506-nucleotide unclassified non-coding RNA is filed under the name uncultured fungus. RNAcentral's name for it is "sequence contains 18S rRNA gene, ITS1, 5.8S rRNA gene, ITS2, 28S rRNA gene". The stretch from base 522 to 1506 matches the Rfam family "Eukaryotic large subunit ribosomal RNA", at positions 1 to 961 of the family's 3401-position model. Lineage: Eukaryota; Fungi. The record is from RNAcentral.
GGAUGGAUCAUUACUUUUAAAAAAACAUACCAACCGUGAAAUUCAACCGUAUCCCUCGAUUCUGGUAAUCAGAGAAGGGGUCUGCUGUGUAAACGACUGUAGCACAGUGGGCCCCUUCCUCUCGAUUGCUCGAAUCGAAAAAGGGAACAAAAACAACCAAAACUAUUUCUACAAUCUAAACAAAACCAAUAUAACUAUUAGCAACGGAUACCUCGGUUCUCACAACGAUGAAGAACGCAGCGAAACGCGAUAUUUAAUGCGAAUUGCAGAAUUCAGUGAAUCAUCAAAUCUUUGAACGCAAGUUGCGCUCUUGGGUAUUCCUAGGAGCAUGCCUCUUUGAGCAUCGUAAACCAUCACUCAAGUAUCUUCUUGACAAAUCUAGAGUCUUUCGAGUCUCUAUAGAUGGCUACCGAUAUGAAAAUUAAAAACCUCUUAUCAGCAAUGUCAAUGAUUCAAUCGAAAGAUAAUUUCAUGUGGACACGACUGGAAAUGUUUUAAUUCUUGUUUCAUAAAAUCUAUUAUGAUCUCAGAUGAGGUAAGAGGACCCGCUGAACUUAAGCAUAUUAGUAAGCGGAGGAAAAGAAACUAACCAGGAUUCCCCUAGUAACGGCGAGUGAACAGGGACUAGCUCAAACCGAAAAUCGUAGUGGUUUCAACUAUGAAUUGUGGUCUACAGAGGUACUGUCAGCGAUGGCCUUGGCUAAAGUCUGUUGGAAUACAGCUGCAAAGAGGGUGAGACUCCCGUCUUGAGCUAAGAGUCCGCCGCGUACGACAUGCCUUCUAAGAGUCGGGUUGCUUGGGAACGCAGCCUUAAACGGGUGGUAAAUUCCAUCUAAAGCUAAAUAUAUGUGAGAGACCGAUAGCAAACAAGUACCGUGAGGGAAAGGUGAAAAGGACUUUGAAAAGAGAGUCAAAAGUACUUGAAAUUGCUAAUAGUCAAGCGAUAGAGGCUAGUGAUUGACGGCACCAUAUUUUCCUUGUGCUAGAAAGGUUCAAUAGGACUUGGGUCUUUGAGAACUGAUCUGGUGUAUGGGUUCUGUGAGUGUUGUUCUUGCCAGAAUCGAUUCGGGGUGUUCUUGAUAGCUGAUGGAGGGUAGUUUCUCUUUUGAAACGAGUGCCAUCAUGCUCUAGAAUGCUCUGGAUCGAGGUAUGAUUCUGACGAAAUGGUCUCUAUCGACCCGUCUUGAAACACGGACCAAGGAGUCUAACGUAUAUGCGAGUCUUUGAGUGGAAAACUCCAAGGCGUAAUGAAAGUUGAAUCAAAUCCCUCGGGAUUUGUGAGAUGUUAAACCCUUUGGGUUUCCGCAUCGCCCGGCGUCUACAUUGUGAGGUGUUCGAGGUCGAGCAUACACGUUAGGACCCGAAAGAUGGUGAACUAUGCCUGAGCAGGGUGAAGCCAGGGGAAACUCUGGUGGAAGCUCGUAGCGAUACUGACGUGCAAAUCGUUCGUCGGACUUGGGUAUAGGGGCGAAAGACUAAUCGAACCAUCUAGUAGCUGGUUCCCUC